RNAcentral lists this ribosomal RNA (968 nucleotides) under Microbacterium sp. RNAcentral's name for it is "partial 23S ribosomal RNA". It matches the Rfam family "Bacterial large subunit ribosomal RNA", at positions 1 to 921 of the family's 2925-position model. The record is from RNAcentral. Lineage: Bacteria; Bacillati; Actinomycetota; Actinomycetes; Micrococcales; Microbacteriaceae.
UUUCAAGUCUUUAAGAGCAAACGGUGGAUGCCUUGGCAUCUGGAGCCGAAGAAGGACGUAGCAAUCUGCGAUAAGCCUCGGGGAACUGAUAAGCAAGUUUUGAUCCGAGGGUGUCCGAAUGGGGAAACCCCGCCAGGCGGCGUGCCGACCUGGUGACUCCCGCCUGAAUAUAUAGGGCGGGUAGAGGGAACGUGGGGAAGUGAAACAUCUCAGUACCCACAGGAAGAGAAAGCAACCGCGAUUCCGUUAGUAGUGGCGAGCGAAACCGGAUCAGGCUAAACCGAGUACGUGUGAUAUCCGGCAGGAGUUGCGUAUUCGGGGUUGUGGGACUCACCAGUCAGUUCUGCCGAGCUGGCGACGUGACAGCAGCGUAUAGACGAACCGCAUUGAAAGGCGGGUCAUAGAGGGUGCGAACCCCGUAGUCGAAAUGCGUGUGUUGGCGUGGAGAGUAUCCCAAGUAGCACGGGGCCCGAGAAAUCCCGUGUGAAUCUGUCAGGACCACCUGAUAAGCCUAAAUACUCCCAGAUGACCGAUAGCGGACAAGUACCGUGAGGGAAAGGUGAAAAGUACCCCGGGAGGGGAGUGAAAUAGUACCUGAAACCGUUUGCUUACAAACCGUUGGAGCCUCCUUAGUAGGGGUGACAGCGUGCCUUUUGAAGAAUGAGCCUGCGAGUUAGCGAUAUGUGGCGAGGUUAACCCGUGAGGGGUAGCCGUAGCGAAAGCGAGUCUGAAUAGGGCGAUUCAGUCGCAUGUCCUAGACCCGAAGCGAAGUGAUCUAUCCAUGGCCAGGCUGAAGCGACGGUAAGACGUCGUGGAGGGCCGAACCCACUUAGGUUGAAAACUGAGGGGAUGAGCUGUGGAUAGGGGUGAAAGGCCAAUCAAACUUCGUGAUAGCUGGUUCUCUCCGAAAUGCAUUUAGGUGCAGCGUUGCGUGUUUCUUGCCGGAGGUAGAGCUACUGGAUGGCCGA